This 548-nucleotide long non-coding RNA is filed under the name Anas platyrhynchos platyrhynchos (common mallard). RNAcentral's name for it is "lncRNA (ENSAPLG00000019332.1)". Lineage: Eukaryota; Metazoa; Chordata; Aves; Anseriformes; Anatidae. The record is from RNAcentral.
AAAGACAAAAGGAGCAAGGUGUAGUUGACACCACAUUGGCCAAAUUUUAUUAUCAUCUUUGUGUCUAUGACAUCACAGCUGUGGACAUUGUCAAAGCGGUGAAACCGCUCGCUUUCUCCCCCAUCCCACUUCUUUUUGUCCCCUGCCAUCAGCUUUAUAUAAUUACUUUCACAAACUCACACUCUCUGCCUAUUAUUUGCUCGGAUGUCACGAAGCUGCGACGUUAGCUAUGUAAAGGUCCAUUGAAUUAUGUCAGUUUUCACCUGAUGAGAAUCUGGCCUUCUAAACUGAUCAAUGCAGUCCAUUGCGUUAGGAUGGGACCAUCAUACAUCUGCUUCGGAGUGACAGAAUAUAGCUACAUAUACAGACAGGACAAAAAGGGAGGGGAAAUGCCUUCCUUUUGAGACCACCCACAACCAGCAGAGUGAGGAGCACAUGGGCAUCUUCGCGGAUUCUCUAUGCAACUGCUAAUGCCCACCAGGCAGUGCACCCUCCGGGGAAGCCGCUUAGACAUGAAACUAAUAAAGACAUCUGCACGUCUCCCUGCA